Long non-coding RNA from Drosophila montana, 1431 nucleotides. RefSeq lists it as uncharacterized. The record is from RefSeq and is a predicted model, not a curated record. The transcript has 3 exons. Lineage: Eukaryota; Metazoa; Arthropoda; Insecta; Diptera; Drosophilidae.
CUGAAAAACAACAAAAAAAAAGCUCCAAGUAUAUUUCCUUUUUGUGUUGCUUCUUCCAACCACAUUGCGAUUAGUUUGCGCUUAAUUGCCAGCCACAACAGUUCUUCGUGUUUAUCUGCUCUUUGCCUAUUUAUGACGAGCACCGUUUUGCGGCAAAUUUGAAUCAAGUGUGGCAAAUUUGAAGACAAGAACAACAACAGCACCGGCCACCGCCUACGUCUGCGCCGCCCACUCAGCAGCUGUUCAAAGAGUUGUGUGCGCUCUCUUUUGUUUUAAUGAGAGAGGUGGAGGGUGAGUGAAAGAGAGCGCGAACGAGGCUAUUUUGUGUGUCAUAAUUUAAAAAUACAAAUAAAAGCUGCAGAAACGAUAGACUGCUAACGUGUGACCAAUGCGACUUUGGGCUUUCUGGGCAUAGCGUUAAAGAGGAGUUAAACGUAAACAAAAAAAGUUCUCCAGACAGUUUCCAUUUGGCUGAGCUUUUUUGACAGCUUGAGGCUGCGACUUUUUUCAUAUAAAAAACAUUCCAAUUGGAUAUGUUCACCUGCAGCUCCAGGCCCUUUUAAACCCUGUAUUGCGGCACAACAAAUUACGUAUCAUACACAAAUCUGUUCGCACACACAUAAAAUGUAUGUAUUUACCAAGUGGCCGCUGUGUAUAUUCCAAAGAAUCGCCAAGAAUAUUCGAAAAUAAUCAAGCGAGCAAACAGAAACAGAAGCAAAAAAAAUGAAACCAUGAAAAAUCAAAAACACAGGCUAAACCAAAGGCAAAACGAUGGCUAGUAAAAUACAAAUAAUAAAGAGAAACUGAAAUUUUCCGAACCAACCGUGAAAAUGUUCCUACGAAAAGGAAAAUUCUUCUUAGGGGGCCUUGGACUUUGCCUAAUUUGCACAUGAUUUUCUGCCUCUGUAAAUGUAAAUGGGUGCACAAAUAUGAAAGUACAUAGAGUCCAAUUGGCCGUUGUGUUUAAUGGGAAUGUCCAAUACAUUACGUUCUGCCGAGAAUCCAAUAAGAAGUUGUGCAGGCUGCUGUGACGCUUAAAGCUCUCGACGAAACGAAAUGCAAAGAACAUUAAAUGCGACGAAAACUCGCAAAAAUUCAAGCCAUAAAAAGCACUUUACAAUGCACAGUUCUGUGUAAAUGUAUGAAUAAAUACACAUACAUAUACAUAUACAAAUAUAUAUAUGUGUGUAUGCACAUAUGUAUUUUUGUUAUUUUGCUUUGACCACAUUUGGCAACAGGCAGAACGUAGCACGUUAAGCCUCAGCACACACACUCGCACACACACACGCACGCACACCAAGAACUCCAGCAGCAGCAACAACAAAAACACCAACUCACGCUCACUCACGCACGCACUUGCAAUUGUGUUGUGAUUGAUUGUAGCAAUAAAUUAACAAAAAUAAUAUCUUACAAUUGGUAGUGGAUUCAAAA